UUGAACGCUGGCGGCAUGCUUUACACCUGCCAGUCGCACGGCAGCGCGGGCUUCGGCCUGGCGGCGAGUGGCGAACGGGUGAGUAAUGCAUCGGAACGUGCCCAGUAGUGGGGGAUAGCCCGGCGAAAGCCGGAUUAAUACCGCAUACGACCUGAGGGUGAAAGCGGGGGACCGAAAGGCCUCGCGCUAUUGGAGCGGCCGAUGUCGGAUUAGCUAGUUGGUGGGGUAAAGGCUUACCAAGGCGACGAUCCGUAGCUGGUCUGAGAGGACGACCAGCCACACUGGGACUGAGACACGGCCCAGACUCCUACGGGAGGCAGCAGUGGGGAAUUUUGGACAAUGGGGGCAACCCUGAUCCAGCCAUGCCGCGUGCGGGAAGAAGGCCUUCGGGUUGUAAACCGCUUUUGUUCGGGAAGAAAUCCUCUGGGCUAAUACCCCGGGGGGAUGACGGUACCGGAAGAAUAAGCACCGGCUAACUACGUG
Molecule: ribosomal RNA, 483 nt
Filed under: uncultured bacterium
Lineage: Bacteria
Description: partial 16S ribosomal RNA
Rfam family: Bacterial small subunit ribosomal RNA
Source: RNAcentral